RNAcentral lists this ribosomal RNA (460 nucleotides) under uncultured bacterium. RNAcentral's name for it is "partial 16S ribosomal RNA". It matches the Rfam family "Bacterial small subunit ribosomal RNA", at positions 338 to 795 of the family's 1533-position model. The record is from RNAcentral.
CCUACGGGUGGCAGCAGUGAGGAAUAUUGGUCAAUGGACGGAAGUCUGAACCAGCCAUGCCGCGUGCAGGAAGACGGCUCUAUGAGUUUUAAACAGCUUUUGUACAAGGGUAAACCUGAAUACGUGUAUUCAGCUGAAAGUACUGUACGAAUAAGGAUCGGCUAACUCCGUGCCAGCAGCCGCGGUAAUACGGAGGAUCCAAGCGUUAUCCGGAUUUAUUGGGUUUAAAGGGUGCGUAGGCGGAUUGAUAAGUUAGAGGUGAAAUGUCCGAGCUUAACUCGGGAACUGCCUCUAAUACUGUUGAUCUGGAGAGUAGAUGCGGUAGGCGGAAUGUAUGGUGUAGCGGUGAAAUGCUUAGAGAUCAUACAGAACACCGAUUGCGAAGGCAGCUUACCAAUCUAUAUCUGACGUUGAGGCACGAAAGCGUGGGGAGCAAACAGGAUUAGAUACCCGAGUAGUC